CUCUUCGGUCACACACGUGUGUGCUGCCCACUGCCAUUGAAAUUUGGCCUCCCCACAGACCCCCUCCCUCCCCCGACUCCACACCCAGAGCGUGCGCGCCACCGCACCCUUCACCUCCCUACCCUCUCGCUUCACGGGCCGCUGCACACGCGCACACACGGGCAGUGCCCUCAUCUUCUCCACCCCGGAUCUCACCGAUCCCACCACACCGACUUGCCCCUGCUCGCUCGCCUCGUCGCGGCGGCCGACGCCUUCCUUCUUGUCACCCGCGCAUCCGCUUCUGCACGGCCCCCGCCCGCCUCUCUCUCUUCACUUCGCGGGUGCCCUUCGCCACUGGCGGUGCACUCGUCAUCAUACGCAGCCGAAAAGUGAAGCCGGCGCUGCACACGUGUAGGCCCGCACGCGCGGAGCGAUCACGCCCGGCUUCACCCCCUUGUAUUUGGCCGGCACCGCAGCUUCUCAGCAGGCACACGCGCGCACACCCGCAUCUACGGCACGCAUUACGGUAGAUGUCAGGCAUUUGUGGUGCCGCGGCGACGGCGGCGGAGUUGAUGGCGCCGCCGAACAGUCCACCGGAGCGCGAGAUGACGGUUCCGAUGCAUGACAUAUCUGCAGACGUUGGGCUUCGCGCGGCAGCGCUUCCACGCAACAUCAGCAGCUGGGAACUUCUGGACGUCGAAUCGGACGGGGGCCCUGUAGACUUUUCGGGGUCGUCGCCAAUCCAGGCUGGGUGCCGGCCCACUUGCGCGGAGGUCGCCGUGGAUCACGGAGAUGGCGGAGGCCACGCUCUGCAGGCGUCGGCGGCAACCGAAGAGCCGAAGGCCACCCUUGGGGAGCCGCCCGUCGUACUUCUACAGUUGUUCGACACAGAGAGCCGCCACACCGCAGACGACACCUCGUCGGAGCACGCGCCAAGCGGCGCCCCCGCUCCAAACGGGCGUGACCAGCACCGCUCUGGUGUCGGCAAGUUAGCAGAGGCGCAUUACUCCCUCACCCGCAGCGUGUCAACAGUGUGGUCCCUCCUCUCCACUACCUCUCAGGCUCACCUACCAGUGGCUCACACCCGCCUGUGCCCGGUGCUGGGCACGACGACGACUGCCACCCCCAAAGACGCUUGCUGUCUCGGCAUCGCCGUCACUGAGACCACCUCUACUGGUCAGGCCGGCGCUCACGAGCAACACGAUGACAACAUCAACUCCUUGCACGCGAGCUCGGGGAUGGCAGGGACGUGGAGGGUGGAUUCCCUUCCGAGCUCGCUGCCGCUGGCGCCACAAAGCAUUGGCGUGUCGCACUCCUACGAGGCGGCCACGGAGCAGGCGAGCCAUGGCACCGGUGCGCCAAGCUCCGCGACGCCAAUGGGCGCCGCGACAAACGCUAUUCUCAUCCCUCGCGUCAUCAGUGUCGCUACGACGUCUCUGGCGAGCGACUGUGAGCCGUGCAUGGGCGAGUCCCGGCGGGCGGGUGUGUGGACGCCGAUCUUGGCGGAUACUGCCACGCUCAGCGAUCAGGCCGCGGUGACCUCGCUCGCAUCGACACUUCCAUCGCCUUCUCACGGCGCACCUGUGCUUUCAGAGGACAGUCUUCGACGGCUCGGUGAAGAGGUGUCAGCCAGGGAGGCGCAGGUGGCCGCUGCGGCGAUGGCGCUGGAAGGCCAGCUGGAGUUUGAUGGACCGUCAUCUAUGGCACCAUCGCCUUGCCCCAAUCCCUGGGCUAGCGCGGGACCGAGGUGCGCGUGCGAGCAGCCAGCAGAGCUGCUCGCGUGGUUGAUGAAGCCUUUGGCGUCGCUGUGCGACCACCGGCCGCAUCCUUGCACCUGCGAGGAGGAUAGGGAGGAAAGCGGUGCGGCGAACAUUUCGGAUACUGCUCUAGCUGGAAGCGCCUCCGCGCAGAGCAGGCAGCGCGAAGAGAGGAGAGCGGCGGCAUGGCUCUCGCGGCGCAUGUCCUUCAUCUCUUCGUCAUCCCUUGCCACAUCGCUGCUGCCCUCGGCUAUGGCCAACACCACCUUUCCUUCAGCGGCGUCGCCCGCCACUUCGGCUGCCUCGUCCUCCAUCUUCACGCUGGAGUCGUCGCUGCUUUGGUCGCAGGCCUGCAUCGUGUGCGCCGGCAGCUCGCAGCGCGCUCUCAAGGGGCUGCACCAGCUAUGCGACUAUGUGUGGCAGGACUUGAAGAACCACUGGUACCCGCAGCUACGUCUCGUGCUCGGCGAUCACUCGUCGGCGCGCAAGAUCCGCUACGGCCGUCACGCGCGCCGUCGUCUUAAGCCGAAGCGCACGCCAGGGAACGGCGAGAGCGCCACAGCGACCAGUGACACUCCUACGAAUACCACCACGGGAGUCUCUCCCGCCGCCUGUGGCGCUGCCGCCGCCUCCCCUGUAGGGACAAUGCGGUGUCGCAGCGUGUCGUCACCAUGCUUCUUCAACGGUGAUGUCCGCAUCACCAGCGACUCAGCCGCGCAUCCGUGCAUGUCGUGGAGGGAUAGAGCCGCGGCGGCAGCGACUCUCCAUCUCCAUGCCAGCAACAGCAACAGCACCAACAGCAGUGGUGCCAGCAGCCCACUGCCGGCUCAGUCCACCAAGGAGGGUAUGCGACUCUACGCGGUCAUGACCGCCGAGGCCGUCGCGUCAGCCGCGCAAGGUCUUCUGGUGUUCCUCCUGUGAGGACAGAGGCACAGGAGGGCCUCUCUCUCCGCGCGCGCGCUCUUCAUGUGUCUUUUCUACAAAAAGCCCACUGUACUACAUGUGAUGGUGGUGCUGACGGUGGCAGCGGCGGGAGGACGAAGAAGAAGAAGGGGCGGGGGACGCAUUGUUACGAACGUGCUGCCCUCGCCAUCAUUCGGCGUGUGUGUGGCGUGGUCGCCUCCACCUGCCGUGCCGGCUUCUUUCCUGUCGUGCCGUCUCUCGUGCCCUUCCCAUUUUUUGUUUCGCCUGCUUGAACAAUGUAUCCAUCUAUGAAGAUGGUGGCGCAUAGAAGCGCUGGCGUGUGUGUGCGCAUGUGUGUCUGUCUGUGUCGGGACUCAGUGCACGGAAAAACUAUAACCCCCCCCCACUGACCACCUCCUCUUCCCUUUUCUUUCUUUGGCUUUGUUUUGCGUCCACGGCGGUCGACUGCGUCCGACGCUGUGCCCGUUUAUUUCGCUCACCUUUCCUAUUUCGUUUUCUGCUGCUGCUGCUGCUGCUUCGCUACUGCUGCUGGCGUAUGUUGCUCGUUGCAGUUCUGGUUGCUGCUGGAGUUGUUGACGAGCCGUGUGCAUGCUGAACACGGUGCAUGUUGUGUGUUGUGCGUGUGUGCUGGCGACAUUGUCGUGCCAAGCGUACAUUCCUUUCCUUUGCGGUGCUUCUCUCCCCCCAUUUUCAUUUUUCGGUUUCGUCCUGCCGAACCAACGCCCUCGUCGCGAUGUGUCCGCUCUGCAGGAGCGCAUUUUUUCCCCUCCCCGCCCCGCCUCUCCGUUACACAUCUGCUGCCUUCUUCGCUUGUUGCUGAUGGUGGGGGAGGGGGCGACAUCUCCUCGCCCUCGUUGCGUACACAUGCUGCGUUGUGAGGGUGUGGGGCGUGGGAUGUGGAGUGUGAGGUAUGCGCCUCUUUCCGUUGAUGCAUAUACACAUAUGCAUAUAUCUUGUAUAUAUAUAUAUGUAUACGUGUAUACAUGCCAUCUGUGAUGAAGACGUGCCUUGGAGAGUGUAUGCCGACGACGAACUCGCGCGCGCCCUCUCCGUCUCCUCAUCCUUUUCUCCUCUGCUGCUCCUUCGCCACCAAGCGAGUGAGGGCACGAGUCCCCGCGGACGCCGUAUUAUUUCCUUCCUUUGUGUACACUUCUCAUUGACGCUCGCACGCAUUCCUCGCGGUACGGCGGUGCGACGCGGCCAGGGGUGGGGGUGGGGAGAUGUGGGGCCUUUCCUUCUGUCCCGUGCAAUGGAUAACCUUACUUUACCCGGGAGCGUUCCCUUUCGUUUCCGUUUUCGCUGCGGAUGGGCCUCAGUGACCGCACGGCCCCUCAUUUUCUCGCUCCUUCUUUCGGCCGUCCGCGCCAUCAUAGUAAGCCCCCCCGCCCAUCCAACCCCCCUUCAUAUCUCCACCCGGCGAGAUAAGAAGCGGGGGGGGGGUGGAGCCGCUCUCAGCAGUACGCAAACGCAGGCAUACACGCGUAUCUGUGUUCUUGAAUUUUACGCACUCCACUCCUGCCGGUAGAGCCUCGGUGUAAGCGGCACGAUCGCACGCACCACUUUCCCAGAAGUCGGGUCGACAGAGACGAAUAUGCCGACUCGCUUGAUGGCCUCGGCGUCACAUUACACACACACACAUACACACACCUUCCCUCUCUACUUCAUUUACGUUGCACAUGCGCUUGCUGCCGUGUGCCAUGCAUUUUGAUCAGCGUCUUCCGGCUUCUCUCAUGUGCCGUUGGCGCUUUUCUUUUUGUGUUGUCCACAUCAGCUCUAUAUUAUGUCGAGAGGUCUUUGCUUGUGGCCGUCCGCCUCUCUUUCAACUUCUCCGCGCCCCACAGUGCCCCCUCCCACCCUCAUCAGCGCCAGCAACUUCAAACCUGCCCUCUCCCCCUGCACUUCUCACGCGCACUUCCCAUUACCAAGUUUGUUCGUGUGUGUCUCUGUCUCGUCUUUCAUCGAUGUUUGUGUAUGUGCUUGCACGAGCGUGUGUGCGCCGGCGAGCAGUCCUCACCAUCCAUGCGCCGGCCCUCCCCCACUCUAUCACGUCUCGAUACGUCGGUUUUUCUCCUCCCUGCUCCCUCCUACCAGCUCUCUCUUUCUCUUCCCUCUUGCUCAGCUCUCUCAGUUCUUUUUUUUUUUCAAGGCGUGCUGCGCGUGCUGCGUUCUGUCCUCUUCAAAUCCACGUGGUGGUGGUGAUGCUCUCUUUCUCUGUUUCCUUCUUGCUGUUAGUCUUCCCGCUGUGUGUCCACCCAUAGCUGAUGAUGAUGAUGCCGCCGCUGCACGCCACGUGCGGUCGAGUCGUAUUCGAACGCAUGUCUGGUCUUUCUGUUUUCUCUCUUGCACAUGCCGGCUUGCAGCGCAUCUGCUGCCAUGAUUUUGUAUGCGCGUGCGUGUGUGUUGAGUGAGUGCGCAGGGCCACGCACCACCCUUCUCUCACGUGCUCUCCAGUUUUGCCCCUCCCUCGCUUUUUCCCCUGCUGCUGCUGCUGUUAUUGUUGGGACGUCUGCCGCAAUGGUCGGUUUCGCCGCUGUGCCCUCUCAGCGCGUAUAGAACAGAGAUGGCCGUGGCGGCGAGAGGAGAAGGGGAGGGAUGAGGGAGAGGGAGAUCCGCCCGCCCACACUCGGCUGUCCCUGCGUCUCCUCAUCCCCUCUCUCUUUCUCUCUGUGUUUGCGUGUGUGCUUGGCCUUCUCUAUCUCCGUCUGUCCAUGUGCUCUUCUCUUGCGUCCUUUCCAGCAGCGGCGUUUUUUGUUGCUUCUCAUGCCCUCUGAGCCCCUCCCCUCCCCCAUCAUCUUCUUCCUCUCUGACUGUCGAGGCGUCUGCGUCGCUGCACUCCAGCGGCAACGCCAUCAGCUCACGGGCGAAUGAGUGCAUCAACCCCCCAAAACGGACGCGAAACCGCAGACAGGCGCGACAACGCGCUGCACACAGACCAAGCGAGCACGGACGUGGAGAGGGGUCCUGUCAGCGAUGACGAGUGUGGGGGUGGUGCAUGUCUAUGUGUGUGUGUGUGUGCACAUCACACGUGACGGACGCGCUGAGGGACCUCACCCCUCCUCCCUCCGAGCACAUCACGCCUUUUCGCUCUUUGUGUUCGUGCGCUGGUCUCUGUCGUGGUGCCAUCCCUGUUGAUACGCCGCACUUGGUGGACGUGUUGAGCCGGCAACG
This 5828-nucleotide unclassified non-coding RNA is filed under the name Leishmania donovani. RNAcentral's name for it is "gene:LdHU3.17.1800(CDS-product:hypothetical_prote in_conserved)". The record is from RNAcentral. Lineage: Eukaryota; Euglenozoa; Kinetoplastea; Trypanosomatida; Trypanosomatidae.